UACGUAGGGGGCAAGCGUUGUCCGGAUUUAUUGGGCGUAAAGAGCGUGUAGGCGGCUAGAUAGGUCCGUUGUGAAAACUCGAGGCUCAACCUCGAGACGUCGAUGGAAACCAUCUGGCUAGAGUCCGGAAGAGGAGAGUGGAAUUCCUGGUGUAGCGGUGAAAUGCGCAGAUAUCAGGAAGAACACCCGUGGCGAAGGCGGCUCUCUGGUACGUGACUGACGCUGAGACGCGAAAGCCGUGGGGAGCAAACAGG
RNAcentral lists this ribosomal RNA (254 nucleotides) under uncultured bacterium. RNAcentral describes it as "partial 16S ribosomal RNA". It matches the Rfam family "Bacterial small subunit ribosomal RNA", at positions 524 to 776 of the family's 1533-position model. The record is from RNAcentral.